This 202-nucleotide ribosomal RNA is filed under the name uncultured bacterium. RNAcentral describes it as "partial 16S ribosomal RNA". It matches the Rfam family "Bacterial small subunit ribosomal RNA", at positions 524 to 725 of the family's 1533-position model. The record is from RNAcentral.
UACGUAGGUGGCAAGCGUUGUCCGGAAUUAUUGGGCGUAAAGCGCGCGCAGGCGGUCCUUUAAGUCUGAUGUGAAAGCCCACGGCUCAACCGUGGAGGGUCAUUGGAAACUGGGGGACUUGAGUGCAGGAGAGAAGAGUGGAAUUCCACGUGUAGCGGUGAAAUGCGUAGAGAUGUGGAGGAACACCAAGUGGCGAAGGCGC